UCGAGAAUCUUCGGCAAUGGUCGCAAGACUGACCGAGCGACGCCGCGUGCGGGAUGAAGGCCUUCGGGUUGUAAACCGCUGUCAGAGGGGAGGAAAUCGAUCGGGUCCACUCGGUCGUUGACCUAUCCUCAGAGGAAGUCCGGGCUAAGUUCGUGCCAGCAGCCGCGGUAAGACGAACCGGACAAACGUUAUUCGGAAUCACUGGGCUUAAAGGGUGCGUAGGCGGUGCGGUCAGUCGGGUGUGAAAUCCCUCAGCUCAACUGAGGAACUGCGCCCGAUACUGCCGUGCUUGAGGGAGGCAGAGGUGAGCGGAACUGAUGGUGGAGCGGUGAAAUGCGUUGAUAUCAUCAGGAACACCGGUGGCGAAGGCGGCUCACUGGGCCUUUUCUGACGCUGAGGCACGAAAGCUAGGGUAGCGAACAGGAUUAGAUACCCGUGUAGUCC
RNAcentral lists this ribosomal RNA (444 nucleotides) under uncultured prokaryote. RNAcentral describes it as "bacterial SSU rRNA". It matches the Rfam family "Bacterial small subunit ribosomal RNA", at positions 355 to 796 of the family's 1533-position model. The record is from RNAcentral.